GAAUGAAUACAUCUGUCAAAAUGGUAGAAUUUUGCUGGUGUUGUUUGGAUUUUGCUCUCGCUUCGGAUUUUCCGAAGUAAGUUUUUAGAAUUUCGGGUUAGAAUUUCGGUUCGAAAAUGGCCAUCAUCGGAUGGUACGGUUACAGCAAGAAGCUUGAGGAAGAAAAACGGACGAUUUGUGCGACGUAAGUGGAAAUUUCGUUCAUCAAAGCUAAGUUCGGAUUGCCGGGGAAAAAAAAUCAGAUGCCGACGGCUGCUGCUCCAAAAACCCAGCGCACAAAAAGGCGGUGUUUGUUAACCAUUUCCAAAGGUUUAUCAGUAAUGGCGAAUGCUGCCGGUUUAUAUAUUUUCCUCAACUGAAGUUACCCCCGUGGCAUGCCGGAAGUUGUUAUCGCCUGCCAGAUAGGAGAUCAUGGAAUGCCGAGCAUUGAUCGAAACCAACGAAAUAGCAGCAGCAGCAUCAGAUUCAAACGACAAAUUUCGGUUACAUAAACCUAAAUCCGGUUUUCAAUUUACAAUAAAAUUGUAUUUCAAACUUAAA
Molecule: long non-coding RNA, 540 nt
Organism: Uranotaenia lowii
Lineage: Eukaryota; Metazoa; Arthropoda; Insecta; Diptera; Culicidae
Exons: 2
Source: RefSeq, a predicted model, not a curated record